Molecule: ribosomal RNA, 253 nt
Filed under: uncultured bacterium
Lineage: Bacteria
Description: partial 16S ribosomal RNA
Rfam family: Bacterial small subunit ribosomal RNA
Source: RNAcentral
UACAGAGGUCUCAAGCGUUGUUCGGAUUCACUGGGCGUAAAGGGUGUGUAGGCGGUAAGGUAAGUUUGGUGUGAAAGCUUCGGGCUUAACCCGAAAAUAGCACUGAAUACUAUCUUGCUUGAGGAUUGGAGAGGGGACUGGAAUUCUCGGUGUAGCAGUGAAAUGCGUAGAUAUCGAGAGGAACACCAGUAGCGAAGGCGAGUCCCUGGACAAUUCCUGACGCUGAGGCACGAAAGCCAGGGGAGCAAACGGG